AGAUUGCAGAUAGUCAAUCAGGAAUGGUAAUAAUUUUGUAAAUGAUGUGGAGAAACCUCAAUUCUGACAUAUGUUAUGACUGGAUACUGGAUACACUUGAUGAAUUCAACAGUCAUGACAGUAGACUUUGCAGAUCAACAGAUAUUUGAUCUGCUACAUUCUACUCAAUCUACAUAAAAAAAUGGAUUUAUUAUUUGUUAAAAACAUGAACCAGAACCUUAGAAAUCAUGCAAAUAAAAAGGAUCAUUAGUACUUCUUAAAAAAGAACCACUUUAACACUGGAAAUAUAAGAUGUAGUUGGACAGUAAUGGCAGCAGCAUCUCUGUUGACAGUUCAAUGGUUAGUGUGUCAACAUGUACACACUGCAGAUGUUUAUAUUAGUAGUCGAAGGAACACC
This 397-nucleotide long non-coding RNA is filed under the name Mytilus galloprovincialis (Mediterranean mussel). The record is from RNAcentral. Lineage: Eukaryota; Metazoa; Mollusca; Bivalvia; Mytilida; Mytilidae.